GGCAGCGAAAGGUCUUCUCCAAAAAGGGUUGAGCUGGAGGGUGGGCAGAGGGGAUAGAAUCUCCAUUUGGGAAGAUUGCUGGAUUCAGGGGGUCGACAAAAUUGGUGCACAAAAUAGAACAGACAGAGGUGAAUUAAAGUUAGUUUCGGAUCUUAUCAAUUUAACUAGCAGGAAAUGGAGAAGGGAUGUGAUCAAUAGUACCUUUCAAGAGGAAAUUGCUAGGAAAAUUCUUCAGACUCCCCUAGCAGAGUUUGAACAUGAGGACUUCCAGGUAUGGAAAGGGGAACUUUCUGGCGAGUUUUCGGUCCGCAGUGCCUAUAAACUAUUACAAGAUGCUAAUCGGAUCCCUAUUGAUUAUUUAUUACAGACCGAAUUAAAAGAAUUUUACAAGAAACUUUGGAGUUUACAGUUGCCCCCAAAAAUUACAUUUACAAUCUGGCGAAUUUCAUGGGAUUUUAUUCCUAAUUUUGCUAAUCUUAGAUACGGGAGGGUUACUGUCAAUGAUAGAUGUCCUCGAUGCUGUUCGGCGGUUGAAGAAAGUGUCCAUAUUUUUCGCGAAUGCCCUCUGACAAUUGAAGUUUGGCAACAGUUAAAUCUUUCAUGGGUUAUGAAUUAUGCGAAUCAAAAUAUAUGGGAAUGGCUUACCUGGGUCUUCAAGAGAAGCAACAACGGUCAGUGACUACUUUUCUGCUAUGCUCUAUGGAUGUUAUGGUACUCCAGAAAUCAGUUAGUACACGAGAGAAGAAAUACAACAGGUAGAGAUUUAGCACAUAAUAUUCAAAGACAUCUGGCAGAGUUUGAAGGUUUAAAAAACUUGAAAAAGAGUGAAAGUAUAAACAGAAGUCAUAAAACACAAGAAGGCAUACCGAGUACGAGAAUCUAUUUUGAUGCAGCGUUCGACAGUAGAACUUUUAGUUUAGCGACAGGUUUGGUAGGGUGGGAUUUGAGGGGAAACUUAAUGGUGUUAAAGACGGUUAUCCACAGAGAUGUCCCCUCACCUUUUGCAGCAGAGGCUUAUGCGUGCCUAGAAGGUGCAAAUUUAAGGAGUUCACUUAGAAUCCAAUCAGUCAGACUCAUGGGGGAUUCAAAAUCAAUUAUAAAAAAAUGUCAAGCAACUUCUAUAGACAAGUCAGUUAUCGGUGCCAUUAUCAGCGAUAUUCAGAAGAUGAAAGCAGAUUUUCAAGAAGUUAUUUUUCAGUUUAUUCACAGAUCGGAGAACACAUAUGCCCAUAGAUUAGCAAAGACCGCGCUCGAGAAAGAAGAAGAUACUUAUUUGAUGGGAGAAGAUCUGGAAGGUCACGCCUUCGCCUCGGCAGAAACUUGGCUUAAAGAACCAGAUUGAAGGAGGAAUGUGCGGAUGAGUAAUGAAAGUAGAUAGCAAAAUGAAAGUUAAAAAGAUUUUGGG
RNAcentral lists this long non-coding RNA (1405 nucleotides) under Gossypium raimondii (Peruvian cotton). Its description in RNAcentral is "long non-coding RNA (GRAI_LNC006590)". The record is from RNAcentral. Lineage: Eukaryota; Viridiplantae; Streptophyta; Magnoliopsida; Malvales; Malvaceae.